RNAcentral lists this ribosomal RNA (372 nucleotides) under uncultured Desulfobulbus sp. Its description in RNAcentral is "bacterial SSU rRNA". It matches the Rfam family "Bacterial small subunit ribosomal RNA", at positions 1014 to 1382 of the family's 1533-position model. Lineage: Bacteria; Pseudomonadati; Thermodesulfobacteriota; Desulfobulbia; Desulfobulbales; Desulfobulbaceae. The record is from RNAcentral.
CUUCCAUCUGGAAGAAUCUGGAGACAGGUGCUGCAUGGCUGUCGUCAGCUCGUGUCGUGAGAUGUUGGGUUAAGUCCCGCAACGAGCGCAACCCUUGCCUUUAGUUGCCAGCAGUUCGGCUGGGCACUCUAAAGGGGACUGCCGGUGUUAAACCGGAGGAAGGUGGGGAUGACGUCAAGUCCUCAUGGCCUUUAUGACCAGGGCUACACACGUACUACAAUGGCCGAUACAAAGGGCAGCGACACUGCGAGGUGAAGCCAAUCCCGUAAAAUCGGUCUCAGUCCGGAUUGGAGUCUGCAACUCGACUCCAUGAAGUUGGAAUCGCUAGUAAUCGUGGAUCAGCAUGCCACGGUGAAUACGUUCCCGGGCCUU